ACAAACUUGGUCAUUUAGAGGAAGUAAAAGUCGUAACAAGGUCUCCGUUGGUGAACCAGCGGAGGGAUCAUUACCGAGUUUACAACUCCCAAACCCAUUGAGAACCUUACCUUUGUUGCUUCGGCGGGAAUGCCCCGGCGCCCUUGCUGCCCGGACUCAGGCGCCCGCCGGAGGCCCCAAACUCUUGUUUUUAGAACUGGAUUUUUCUGAGUUAUCAAACAAAUAAAUCAAAACUUUCAACAACGGAUCUCUUGGUUCUGGCAUCGAUGAAGAACGCAGC
RNAcentral lists this unclassified non-coding RNA (280 nucleotides) under uncultured fungus. RNAcentral describes it as "partial contains small subunit ribosomal RNA, internal transcribed spacer 1, and 5.8S ribosomal RNA". The stretch from base 1 to 73 matches the Rfam family "Eukaryotic small subunit ribosomal RNA", at positions 1759 to 1831 of the family's 1831-position model. Lineage: Eukaryota; Fungi. The record is from RNAcentral.